Poecilia latipinna (sailfin molly) is the source of this 879-nucleotide long non-coding RNA. RefSeq lists it as uncharacterized. The record is from RefSeq and is a predicted model, not a curated record. The transcript has 2 exons. NCBI's taxonomy places the organism in Eukaryota, Metazoa, Chordata, Actinopteri, Cyprinodontiformes, Poeciliidae.
UCGAGAGGUGGUGACGUAUUUCCGUUUGAAUUUAUGCCACAUAGAUUGGUUCCGGGUCCUGCUUGCUCCUAUUGUUUUUGGCCAAAGCUGCAAGAUCUGUACCAUGAAAAAGACGCAAAACUUAAAAUAUCUGUGAGCUACUGGUACAACAAUCGAGUUUUGUGGUGUGCCGUUGUGUCCAGUAAUUAGUCGGUACCAUCUGGUGCUUAGUUUUUUCAUUUUCCUGCUGAUAUCAAGGCGACAGCAGACUGUAGCCAAAACUUAGCCACUACAGCUAACACAUGAUUUGUAGCUGCCUGCUAUUUCAAAGCUUGAGGAUAUUGAAGAUCCAGCGUCAGAAAUGGGAAGAUGGAGGUUAAAAGGAGCUGAACGCGGUUCGUUCACUGGAAUAAUUUGUUGGAGGAAAAUAAUGCCGGAGGAAAUCCACUGCUGGGAACAGGCUGAGAACAGAGGCAGCGAUUCGGCACAAGGUUUGCAUCGCAACACCUCGUGUUUCUGAGCCAUGAUCACAGUGCCGAUUACCUUUCCAUUGGAUCCAAGAACCUGGACCAGCUGAUGGCGUCCAUCAGUCCACGGAUCAUCACAACGUGGACUAACUUUUUUUUUUUACAGUACUUGGUUAAACUAUGAUCUUGAAACUGGAGCACCAGAUAUGCAAAAAUCUUCCUGCAGACUUUGUUGGCUACCCUGACACUGCAGUCAUCCUGGACGGGGCUGAGCCGAUCUUCCUUUCCUCCAGAGUGACGAGUUUUCAUCACCAGUAAAGGCGAACAAGUCUGAUCUCUGAUUAGCUGCUAGGAAGUAUAUUAUAUAUUCACUGUUCAUUUUGCUAUCCUGUUUGUACCUACAAUAAAAUUGAAUCUCAUUUGUAAUACUCUA